UUUAUAUGAGAGUUUGAUCCUGGCUCAGGAUGAACGCCGGCGGUGUGCCUAAUACAUGCAAGUCGAACGCGUUGGCCCAACUGAUUGRACGUGCUUGCACGGACUUGACGUUGGUUUACCAGCGAGUGGCGGACGGGUGAGUAACACGUAGGUAACCUGCCCCAAAGCGGGGGAUAACAUUUGGAAACAGAUGCUAAUACCGCAUAACAAUUUGAAUCGCAUGAUUCAAAUUUAAAAGAUGGCUUCGGCUAUCACUUUGGGAUGGACCUGCGGCGCAUUAGCUUGUUGGUAGGGUAACGGCCUACCAAGGCUGUGAUGCGUAGCCGAGUUGAGAGACUGAUCGGCCACAAUGGAACUGAGACACGGUCCAUACUCCUACGGGAGGCAGCAGUAGGGAAUCUUCCACAAUGGGCGCAAGCCUGAUGGAGCAACACCGCGUGAGUGAAGAAGGGUUUCGGCUCGUAAAGCUCUGUUGUUAGAGAAGAACGUGCGUGAGAGCAACUGUUCACGCAGUGACGGUAUCUAACCAGAAAGUCACGGCUAACUACGUGCCAGCAGCCGCGGUAAUACGUAGGUGGCAAGCGUUAUCCGGAUUUAUUGGGCGUAAAGCGAGCGCAGGCGGUUUGAUAAGUCUGAUGUGAAAGCCUUUGGCUUAACCAAAGAAGUGCAUCGGAAACUGUCAGACUUGAGUGCAGAAGAGGACAGUGGAACUCCAUGUGUAGCGGUGGAAUGCGUAGAUAUAUGGAAGAACACCAGUGGCGAAGGCGGCUGUCUGGUCUGCAACUGACGCUGAGGCUCGAAAGCAUGGGUAGCGAACAGGAUUAGAUACCCUGGUAGUCCAUGCCGUAAACGAUGAGUGCUAGGUGUUGGAGGGUUUCCGCCCUUCAGUGCCGCAGCUAACGCAUUAAGCACUCCGCCUGGGGAGUACGACCGCAAGGUUGAAACUCAAAGGAAUUGACGGGGGCCCGCACAAGCGGUGGAGCAUGUGGUUUAAUUCGAAGCUACGCGAAGAACCUUACCAGGUCUUGACAUCUUGCGCCAACCCUAGAGAUAGGGCGUUUCCUUCGGGAACGCAAUGACAGGUGGUGCAUGGUCGUCGUCAGCUCGUGUCGUGAGAUGUUGGGUUAAGUCCCGCAACGAGCGCAACCCUUGUUACUAGUUGCCAGCAUUCAGUUGGGCACUCUAGUGAGACUGCCGGUGACAAACCGGAGGAAGGUGGGGACGACGUCAGAUCAUCAUGCCCCUUAUGACCUGGGCUACACACGUGCUACAAUGGACGGUACAACGAGUYGCGAACUCGCGAGGGCAAGCUAAUCUCUUAAAACCGUUCUCAGUUCGGACUGCAGGCUGCAACUCGCCUGCACGAAGUCGGAAUCGCUAGUAAUCGCGGAUCAGCAUGCCGCGGUGAAUACGUUCCCGGGCCUUGUACACACCGCCCGUCACACCAUGAGAGUUUGCAACACCCAAAGUCGGUGGGGUAACCUUCGGGGAGCUAGCCGCCUAAGGUGGGGCAGAUGAUUAGGGUGAAGUCGUAACAAGGUAGCCGUAGGAGAACCUGCGGCUGGAUCACCUCCUUUCUAAGGAAUUAAUCGGAAACCUGCACAUUCGUUGAAACUGCGUUCAGUUUUGAGGGGUCUACCCUCAGCUUGUACUUUGAAAACU
This 1662-nucleotide ribosomal RNA is filed under the name Limosilactobacillus mucosae. RNAcentral describes it as "bacterial SSU rRNA". It matches the Rfam family "Bacterial small subunit ribosomal RNA". Lineage: Bacteria; Bacillati; Bacillota; Bacilli; Lactobacillales; Lactobacillaceae. The record is from RNAcentral.